This 446-nucleotide ribosomal RNA is filed under the name uncultured bacterium. Its description in RNAcentral is "bacterial SSU rRNA". It matches the Rfam family "Bacterial small subunit ribosomal RNA", at positions 329 to 792 of the family's 1533-position model. The record is from RNAcentral.
UUCCAGACUCCUACGGGAGGCAGCAGUGAGGAAUAUUGCACAAUGGGGGAAACCCUGAUGCAGCGACGCCGCGUGAGCGAUGAAGUAUUUCGGUAUGUAAAGCUCUAUCAGCAGGGAAGAAAAUGACGGUACCUGACUAAGAAGCCCCGGCUAACUACGUGCCAGCAGCCGCGGUAAUACGUAGGGGGCAAGCGUUAUCCGGAUUUACUGGGUGUAAAGGGAGCGUAGACGGCUGUGCAAGCCAGAUGUGAAAGCCCGGGGCUCAACCCCGGGACUGCAUUUGGAACUGUGUGGCUGGAGUGUCGGAGAGGCAGGCGGAAUUCCUAGUGUAGCGGUGAAAUGCGUAGAUAUUAGGAGGAACACCAGUGGCGAAGGCGGCCUGCUGGACGAUGACUGACGUUGAGGCUCGAAAGCGUGGGGAGCAAACAGGAUUAGAUACCCCUGUA